RNAcentral lists this transfer RNA (71 nucleotides) under Acheilognathus somjinensis. RNAcentral describes it as "tRNA-Gly". It matches the Rfam family "tRNA". Rfam says of the family: Transfer RNA (tRNA) molecules are approximately 80 nucleotides in length. Their secondary structure includes four short double-helical elements and three loops (D, anti-codon, and T loops). The record is from RNAcentral. Lineage: Eukaryota; Metazoa; Chordata; Actinopteri; Cypriniformes; Acheilognathidae.
AUCUUUCUAGUAUUAGAUUAGUACAAAUGACUUCCAAUCAUUUAGUCUUGGUUAAACCCCAAGGAAAGAUA